This 50-nucleotide small RNA is filed under the name Arabidopsis thaliana (thale cress). Its description in RNAcentral is "ATSL244900". Lineage: Eukaryota; Viridiplantae; Streptophyta; Magnoliopsida; Brassicales; Brassicaceae. The record is from RNAcentral.
AUUAACCAGUGGACUAAAAAGCGGAUGAUUUGUUCAAAACCAAAAAAAAA